Suricata suricatta (meerkat) is the source of this 426-nucleotide long non-coding RNA. RefSeq lists it as uncharacterized. Lineage: Eukaryota; Metazoa; Chordata; Mammalia; Carnivora; Herpestidae. The transcript has 2 exons. The record is from RefSeq and is a predicted model, not a curated record.
GGCAAGACAUUUUUAUUUGCAUUCAUCUGGACAAUGUGUGUGCUUUAAAAUUUCCAUCACCCUGCCACUGCUUGUGAACUGUGAGCGUCUGGAGUUUCCAGUGAUACCUGCUUGCACGCGGCUGUGCUUCUGGUUGAAAAUGAAGAAAAGCUGCCAACAAGAUCAGAGGGCCAACUGGCUGAUUUUGAAACUUAACAGGUACUCUUACAGGUUUGAAAGAUUCAAAGCUCCUGAAACUUUUCAUUUAAAGCCCUGAGGCUUUUAAUUUGUUACAGACCAACAGUAGAAAUAGAACCAUUUACUAUAAUAACAGUGGCACUAAUAUCGUAUCUUCAAGAGAAAAGUCACACCCAAUGAAGAGAAAAGAGUCAACACACUUAGUGAAAACGUUUUACCUCACUAUGUAAAUAAAGAUAUUCAAAUUCA